RNAcentral lists this ribosomal RNA (497 nucleotides) under uncultured bacterium. Its description in RNAcentral is "partial 16S ribosomal RNA". It matches the Rfam family "Bacterial small subunit ribosomal RNA", at positions 28 to 507 of the family's 1533-position model. The record is from RNAcentral.
GAUGAACGCUGGCGGCGUGCCUAAUACAUGCAAGUCGAGCGAACGGACGAGAAUCUUGCUUCUCUGAUGUUAGCGGCGGACGGGUGAGUAACACGUGGAUAACCUACCUAUAAGACUUGGAUAACUUCGGGAAACCGGAGCUCAUACCGGAUAAUAUUUUGAACCGCAUGGUGCAAAAGUGAAAGACGGUCUUGCUGUCACUUAUAGAUGUAUCCGCGCUGCAUUAGCUAGUUGGUAAGGUAACGGCUUACCAAGGCAACGAUGCAUAGCCGACCUGAGAGGGGGAUCGGCGACAGGGAAACUGAGACACGGUCCUGAGUCCGACGGGAGGCGGCAGUAGGGAAUCUUCCGAGAUGGGCGAAAGCCUGACGGAGCAACGCAGCGUGAGUGAUGAAGGUCUUCGGAUCGUAAAACUCUGUUAUUAGGGAAGAACAUAUGUGUAAGUAACUGUGCACAUCUUGACGGUACCGAAUCAGAAAGCCACGGCUAACUACGUG